RNAcentral lists this transfer RNA (75 nucleotides) under Serratia marcescens. RNAcentral's name for it is "tRNA-Thr". It matches the Rfam family "tRNA". Rfam says of the family: Transfer RNA (tRNA) molecules are approximately 80 nucleotides in length. Their secondary structure includes four short double-helical elements and three loops (D, anti-codon, and T loops). Lineage: Bacteria; Pseudomonadati; Pseudomonadota; Gammaproteobacteria; Enterobacterales; Yersiniaceae. The record is from RNAcentral.
GCCGGUUUAGCUCAGUAGGUAGAGCAACUGACUUGUAAUCAGUGGUCACCAGUUCGAUUCCGGUAGCCGGCACCA